Molecule: transfer RNA, 70 nt
Filed under: Gammaproteobacteria bacterium
Lineage: Bacteria; Pseudomonadati; Pseudomonadota; Gammaproteobacteria
Description: tRNA-OTHER
Rfam family: tRNA
About the family: Transfer RNA (tRNA) molecules are approximately 80 nucleotides in length. Their secondary structure includes four short double-helical elements and three loops (D, anti-codon, and T loops).
Source: RNAcentral
AUGGAAUUAGCUCAAAAGGGUAGAGCUCCAGUCUCGGAACUGGUGGUUGCCGGUUCGAGUCCGGCAUUCC